RNAcentral lists this ribosomal RNA (465 nucleotides) under uncultured bacterium. Its description in RNAcentral is "partial 16S ribosomal RNA". It matches the Rfam family "Bacterial small subunit ribosomal RNA", at positions 39 to 523 of the family's 1533-position model. The record is from RNAcentral.
GCGGCGUGCUUCAUACAUGCAAGUCGAACGAGAAGCAGGAGCUUGCUCCUGUGGAAAGUGGCGGACGGGUGAGUAACACGUAGGAAAUCUGCCUUUGGGUGGGGGACAACAGUUGGAAACGACUGCUAAUACCCCAUAUGAGCUUGGUUGCAAUACCAAUCUUGAAAACUCCGGUGCCUAAAGAUGAGCCUGCGUCUGAUUAGCUUGUUGGCGGGGUAAUGGCCCACCAAGGCGACGAUCAGUAGCUGGUUUGAGAGGAUGAUCAGCCACAAUGGGACUGAGACACGGCCCAUACUCCUACGGGAGGCAGCAGUAGGGAAUUUUGCGCAAUGGGGGAAACCCUGACGCAGCAACGCCGCGUGAAUGACGAAGCCCUUCGGGGUGUAAAGUUCUGUCAGUAGGGAAGAAUUUUGACUGUACCUACAAAGGGAGCACCGGCUAACUCCGUGCCAGCCGCCGCGGUAA